This is a non-coding RNA of Pelobates cultripes (western spadefoot toad), 356 nucleotides long. NCBI's taxonomy places the organism in Eukaryota, Metazoa, Chordata, Amphibia, Anura, Pelobatidae. The record is from the annotation of a GenBank genome assembly.
AGCAUUCAUAUGGUUUCCUGUUCGGCGGAUUGGUGUUCUGCAGUAGCUGUGCCUGUGUCUCUGGAAGGGAAGAUCUACUAAACGGCUGUUAACCCUUUUAUGCCUGGGGUUGCCUUUACACCCUUCACACCUGAACAUUUAUUAUUUAUGCUGCCACUCCAUGAUUUCAAUAAAAAGGAAAACUACCUGACAUCCCAACUGGCAGCAAUCCACCUUAUUCCAGUAUACUGGAAACAGGAAAAGAUCCCCUCUAUUAGGGAAUGGACCAACAGGGUAGAAAGUAUUAAACAGAUGGAAAGUAUAACAUAUGCCUUAUCAAAAAAUGACAUAACCUUCACCCAAACAUGGAAACUCUG